AUUGAACGCUGGCGGAAUGCUUUACACAUGCAAGUCGAACGGCAGCACGGACUUCGGUCUGGUGGCGAGUGGCGAACGGGUGAGUAAUGUAUCGGAACGUGCCCAGUCGUGGGGGAUAACGUAGUGAAAAUUACGCUAAUACCGCAUACGAGCUAUGGAUGAAAGCGGGGGCUGGCAAGACCUAGCGCGAUUGGAGCGGUCGAUAUCAGAUUAGGUAGUUGGUGGGGGAAAGGCCCACCAAGCCAACGACCUGUAGCUGGUCUGUGAGGACGACCAGCCACACUGGAACUGAGACACGGUCCAGACGCCUACGGGAGGCAGCAGUGGGGAAUUUUGGACAAUGGGCGAAAGCCCGAUCCAGCCAUUCCGCGUGCAGGAUGAAGGCCCUCGGGUUGUAAACUGCUUUUGUACAGAACGAAAAGGUUUCUACUAAUACUAGGAGCUCAUGACGGUACUGUAAGAAUAAGCACCGGCUAACUACGUGCCAGCCGCCGCAGUAA
This 500-nucleotide ribosomal RNA is filed under the name uncultured bacterium. RNAcentral describes it as "partial 16S ribosomal RNA". It matches the Rfam family "Bacterial small subunit ribosomal RNA", at positions 30 to 523 of the family's 1533-position model. The record is from RNAcentral.